Non-coding RNA from Pelobates cultripes (western spadefoot toad), 226 nucleotides. NCBI's taxonomy places the organism in Eukaryota, Metazoa, Chordata, Amphibia, Anura, Pelobatidae. The record is from the annotation of a GenBank genome assembly.
CCAAACUGGCAUGGAACAAGGAGCCCUAACUGGAGCUAUUUUCCUUGAUUUUGCUAAGGCCUUUGACACAGUAGACCACGACAUUCUACUGCACAAACUCAAAAACUCAGGUAUUGGUGAUCAUUCUUUAAACUGGUUUCGAUCGUAUGUAUCGGAUCGCUCGCAAUAUGUGUCCAUUUCUGACAGUGACUCCCUCCCUCUCCCGGUCACAUGUGGUGUUCCCCAG